Molecule: ribosomal RNA, 495 nt
Filed under: uncultured bacterium
Lineage: Bacteria
Description: partial 16S ribosomal RNA
Rfam family: Bacterial small subunit ribosomal RNA
Source: RNAcentral
GAUGAACGCUGGCUGCAGGCUUAACACAUGCAAGUCGCGGGGCAGCAUGGGGGUGGCUUGCAAUCCCCGAUGGCGGCCGGCGCACGGGUGAGUAACGCGUAUCCAACCUGCCCUUCACCACGGGAUAACCCGGCGAAAGUCGGACACAUACCGUAUGUUGUACAUUGACGGCACACGAUUUUGCCGGAAGGGUUGGCGGGGAGGGAGGGGGAGGUGUCAGAUUGGUUGGAGGGCGGGGUGACGGCGCCCCGUGGCGACGAUCGGUGGGGGGUCUGAGAGGAGGAUCAGCCACCCUGGGACUGAGACACGGCCCCGCCUCCUACGGGAGGCAGCAGUGGGGAAUUUUGGACAAUGGGCGGAAGCUUGAUCCAGCCAUGCCGCGUGGAGGAUGAAGGCCUUCGGGUUGUAGACUGCUUUUGUUCGGAACGAAAAGACUUGUUUCAAUACAGGAGGUUCAUGACGGUACCGUAAGAAUAAGCACCGGCUAACUCCGUG